GGGGAAUCUUGCGCAAUGGGCGAAAGCCUGACGCAGCGACGCCGCGUGAGCGAUGAAGGCCUUCGGGUCGUAAAGCUCUGUCAGAGGGGACGAUAAUGACGGUACCCUCAGAGGAAGCCCCGGCUAACUACGUGCCAGCAGCCGCGGUAAGACGUAGGGGGCUAGCGUUGUCCGGAAUUACUGGGCGUAAAGGGCGUGUAGGCGGCCAGGAAAGUCAGUGGUGAAACACCUGGGCUCAACCCAGGUAUUGCCGUUGAAACUGUCUGGCUUGAGGAUAGAAGAGGAGUGUGGAAUUCCCGGUGUAGCGGUGAAAUGCGUAGAGAUCGGGAGGAACACCAGUGGCGAAGGCGGCACUCUGGUCUAUACCUGACGCUGAGGCGCGAAAGCUAGGGAAGCAAAC
RNAcentral lists this ribosomal RNA (400 nucleotides) under uncultured bacterium. RNAcentral describes it as "bacterial SSU rRNA". It matches the Rfam family "Bacterial small subunit ribosomal RNA", at positions 356 to 773 of the family's 1533-position model. The record is from RNAcentral.